GACUCAUACUGCUGACUGAGUGGCAGCCUCUCUGGUGAAGCUUCCUGAGGGAUCUUUGGUCACAGUUCCUGUUUCAUACUGGCAGUCCAGCAAGGUUCGAUGUUUCCUAGAGGGACAGAUGCUGACCUGCUGCCAUUGUGUCUUAACCACAACUAGCAGAGCUGGUGAACCCUAGCUCUGCUAUUCGAGAAAGUUCCUUCACAGUGCAAAAUGCCACAUGUGUUAUGUUUGACAGGAAAGCUAUUAGAAUAAAGGUCAUUAUCUGU
Molecule: long non-coding RNA, 266 nt
Filed under: Bos taurus (domestic cattle)
Lineage: Eukaryota; Metazoa; Chordata; Mammalia; Artiodactyla; Bovidae
Description: long non-coding RNA NONBTAT023807
Source: RNAcentral